GAUGAACGCUGGCGGCGUGCCUAAUACAUGCAAGUCGAGCGAACAGACGAUGAUCUUGCUGCUCUGACGUUAGCGGCGGACGUGUGAGUCACACGUGUAUACCCUCCCUAUAAGACUGGGAUAACUUCGGGAAAGCGGCUCUUACCCCGGAUGAGAUCUUGAACCGCAUGGUUCGAUAGUGAGAGACGGCGUUUCUGGCUCGUAUCGAUGCAUCCGCGCUGCAUUAGCUAGUUGUUAAGGUAACGGGUUACCAAGGCAACGAUGCCUAGCCGACCUGCGAGGGUGAUCGGCCACACGGGAGCGGAGACACGGUCCAGACUCCUACGAGAGGCAGCAGUAGGGAAUCGUCCGCAAUGGGCGAAAGUCUGACGGAGCAACGCCGCGUGAGUGAUGAAGGUCUUGCGAUCGUAAAACUCUGUUAUUAGGGAAGAACAGAUGUGUAAGUAACUGUGCACGUCGUGACGGUACCGAAUAAGAAAGCCACGGCUAACUACGUG
This 497-nucleotide ribosomal RNA is filed under the name uncultured bacterium. RNAcentral's name for it is "partial 16S ribosomal RNA". It matches the Rfam family "Bacterial small subunit ribosomal RNA", at positions 28 to 507 of the family's 1533-position model. The record is from RNAcentral.